UACGGAGGCAGCGAGCGUUGUUCGGAGUUACUGGGCGUAAAGGGUGUGUAGGCGGUCCCUUAAGUUUGGUGUGAAAUCUCCCGGCUUAACUGGGAGGGUGCGCCGGAUACUGAGGGGCUAGAGUGCGGGAAGGGAAAGUGGAAUUCCUGGUGUAGCGGUGAAAUGCGUAGAUAUCAGGAGGAACACCGGUGGUGCAAACGGCUUUCUGGACCGUAACUGACGCUGAGACACGAAAGCGUGGGGAGCAAACAGG
RNAcentral lists this ribosomal RNA (253 nucleotides) under uncultured bacterium. RNAcentral describes it as "partial 16S ribosomal RNA". It matches the Rfam family "Bacterial small subunit ribosomal RNA", at positions 524 to 776 of the family's 1533-position model. The record is from RNAcentral.